Molecule: ribosomal RNA, 444 nt
Filed under: uncultured bacterium
Lineage: Bacteria
Description: bacterial SSU rRNA
Rfam family: Bacterial small subunit ribosomal RNA
Source: RNAcentral
GUGAGGAAUAUUGGUCAAUGGGCGCAAGCCUGAACCAGCCAUGCCGCGUGCAGGAAGACGGUCCUAUGGAUUGUAAACUGCUUUUAUUUGGGAAUAAACUCCGGUACGUGUACCGGCCUGAAGGUACCAAAUGAAUAAGCACCGGCUAACUCCGUGCCAGCAGCCGCGGUAAUACGGAGGGUGCAAGCGUUAUCCGGAAUCAUUGGGUUUAAAGGGUCCGCAGGCGGUCUUAUAAGUCAGUGGUGAAAGCCUACAGCUCAACUGUAGAACUGCCAUUGAUACUGUAGGACUUGAAUUCGAUCGAAGUGGGCGGAAUGUGACAUGUAGCGGUGAAAUGCUUAGAUAUGUCACAGAACACCGAUAGCGAAGGCAGCUCACUAGGUCUGGAUUGACGCUCAGGGACGAAAGCGUGGGGAGCAAACAGGAUUAGAACCCUUGUAGUCC